This 403-nucleotide ribosomal RNA is filed under the name Verrucomicrobiota bacterium. RNAcentral's name for it is "Verrucomicrobia bacterium partial 16S ribosomal RNA". It matches the Rfam family "Bacterial small subunit ribosomal RNA", at positions 355 to 776 of the family's 1533-position model. Lineage: Bacteria; Pseudomonadati; Verrucomicrobiota. The record is from RNAcentral.
UGGGGAAUAUUGCACAAUGGGCGCAAGCCUGAUGCAGCAACGCCGCGUGAACGAUGAAGGUCUUCGGAUCGUAAAGUUCUGUUGCAGGGGAAGAUAAUGACGGUACCCUGUGAGGAAGCCCCGGCUAACUACGUGCCAGCAGCCGCGGUAAUACGUAGGGGGCUAGCGUUAUCCGGAUUUACUGGGCGUAAAGGGUGCGUAGGUGGUCCUUCAAGUCGGUGGUUAAAGGCUACGGCUCAACCGUAGUAAGCCGCCGAAACUGGAGGACUUGAGUGCAGGAGAGGAAAGUGGAAUUCCCAGUGUAGCGGUGAAAUGCGUAGAUAUUGGGAGGAACACCAGUAGCGAAGGCGGCUUGCUGGACUGCAACUGACACUGAGGCACGAAAGCGUGGGUAGCAAACAGG